UCCGAGCUGAGCCUGACUUGGGGCUCCAUUUCACAACUGUGAGGUCAUGACCUGAGCCAAAAUCAAGAGGACACCUAACCGACAGAGCACCCAGGUGCCCCAAGACUAACCAUUUUAAAGUGAACGAUUCGGGAACAUUUGCUCCAUUCACAAUGUCGUGCAACCGUCACGUGUCUGGUUCUGGAACACUCAUCGGGGAGGCCCCCGUCCGUCGGCAGGGCACCCCCAUGCCCUUGCCCCAGGCCCGGCCACCACGGCCCCUUUCUGUCCGUGGGUUUGCCCGCUGCGGGCAUGUCGUGUGCCUGAACUCCUGCGGUCCUCAUGCUGUGGCGCCCGGCUUCUCUUACCCAGCGCGGCGUUUUCCAGGUCCUUCCAGGUCCUUCCACGUUGCAGUGUGGGCCAGUCCUGCAUCCCUUGUGAUGGCUGCAUAGUAGCGCCCUGUGGAUUCUUUAACCUCUACGUUUUUCAUGGAACUGAAACGUCUCAGGACCGAGGACGCUGGCUUUCCUUAAAAACGGCGAGGGCAGUAUCUGCAAACCCUCCUUCGCGUGUCCUGUGGGAAAGUGUGUGGGCAGCCUCCCCGCCGGCAGCCUCUGCCAGCACCGAAGGCGCGGCCGGGCGGUGAGGACGGCGAGACCUGGUUCUCCCUGGCUGGCCCUCUCAGAGCUCAGCAGGGAGGGCGGGGGGAGGGACGCGCUGCUGGCUGGGAGGGGAGACGAGUGCCAGAGGUGGGACACAGCGCGCUGCCCGAAGACCCCGCACGCUGGGCAGGGCGUUCACGUGGGGCUGUUCCUUCGUCCGUGUGCAGAGGGCUCCGCCGGUUGGGGCUGCGUCCCAGGAAGGCCGGUUCCGGGGUCCCCUCUCUCCGCGUCUCCCCUCUCCGUGGUCCCGCAGCGGAGCUGGAGUCAGCAUACGGUUUCAAAUUCUGAGCGGUGCCCAGGCCGGGAGCAGAGGACCCCACAGACGUGGAAAAGCCCCUGUGCCUGAGAGCAGGUGGGGGCAGGAGGGGGCCGCGGGGGUGUGCAGCCAGGGCCGCGGGCCCUGGCUCACAGUUGCCGUCGAUGGCUGUCUGCGGCUGGCGGUUCCUGCGAGUGGCCAGAGGCUGCGGGGUGCCUUUCUUCCCACCACUCCGUCCCCCACCGUCGGGGUCUCUCUGCCUGGUCUCCGCAUCCCCUGUGUGAGCCUCAGCCGUGUCCCUCCCCACCUCCCCGGGCCCGUCCACUCCUGGGCCUGGCUCUCUGGUCCUGCGAAGGGCUCCCGCCUGCCCUGCUCGAGCUCCCACGCUGCGGCAGGGGGCCCAGAAGCAGCAUCGUGUCCGUGAAGAGAACAUCAUGUCCGUGUCCCUGCGUGCACCAGGACCCUGUGUGGCGAGUCUGGGCUGGAGUUCUGAGCAGGUAGAAGGUCCUCCCAGCUCCAGUCAGCUCGCCCUCCUCCUGCGACAUCCUGAGUGGAUUAACAGGGAGGGGAGGGCAUGGGGGGCAGGGGGCUCAGCCACCUGCCCGGCUGCCCCCCAGGGGGUUGCAGGUGGGCGCCCCGGGCUUCUGCCCCACCCGGCUCGUGUGAGUACAGAGGAGGGGGCUGGGUCUGCUCGGGGCGGCUCGGGGUCACUCCUGCUGCCCCUGGGUCUGGUUACAAAGGCACAUGGAGAACGUGGGUGGCUGCCUAAGCCUCUGGAAGCCCAAGAAUGUGCAGAGGGCUCAUCGUGGCCUCAGGUCUCCUGGUUGGUUGGGCGAAUUUGCUUUUAUUUCUAGGCAGAGACCACACGGAGAGACCUUUUAUGGCCUGGCAGACGCGUCUGGCAGAUGCCCCCGCCCGAGCAUUUCCAUCAGGCAGGCAGGCUGUGAGUGGACCGGCCGGCCGGCAUCACCGGGCUCUGCCAGUGUGGACACCCACACGGGUCUGCCGGGCAGUGGGGGACCGAGGGGCCGUGUCUGAAGGACAAACAGGAACGUGAGGGGGCAGCCACACCUGCCAUGGUGCACCGUCGGCAACCUGCGUGGGACUGUGCUGUCCGGCAGGCCCUGGGUACUUUCCUUCCAGCAUUCUGGAAGAACAAGGACAGAGAGCACAUCUAGUUUGCUCAGAUGUCGGGCGGAAGUUUGGAUGAUGGGACAUUUCAUACAAUUCUUUUAAUUAAAAAAAUCCUUUGUUUUUA
Felis catus (domestic cat) is the source of this 2155-nucleotide long non-coding RNA. RefSeq lists it as uncharacterized. Lineage: Eukaryota; Metazoa; Chordata; Mammalia; Carnivora; Felidae. The transcript has 2 exons. The record is from RefSeq and is a predicted model, not a curated record.